CAGAUAGCCCCUGGAGACUGAAGUCCAUUCUUUCUUCACAGAAUAGAUACAAGAUGAGUUUCCUUACAUUGCCCUGCCAACUGGUAUUUCAGCAUGACCAUGGAGGGAUCAUCCAUCAAGGUCAGAGGGUCGUUCACUUUCCAGGGUCAAAUGGUAGUUCACUCUCCAAGGUCAUUCAAUUCUUCACCUCU
This 191-nucleotide small RNA is filed under the name Gopherus agassizii (Agassiz's desert tortoise). Its description in RNAcentral is "TUC338 (ENSGAGG00000016391.1)". Lineage: Eukaryota; Metazoa; Chordata; Testudines; Testudinidae. The record is from RNAcentral.